GCUUAGAGUUUGAUCCUGGCUCAGGAUGAACGCUAGCGACAGGCUUAACACAUGCAAGUCGAGGGGUAGAGGAGGCUUGCUUCCUUGAGACCGGCGCACGGGUGCGAAACGCGUAUACAAUCUACCUUAUACAGGGGGAUAGCCCAGAGAAAUUUGGAUUAAUACCCCAUAGUAUUAUUGAGUGGCAUCAUUUAAUAAUUAAAGAUUUAUCGGUAUAAGAUGAGUAUGCGUCCUAUUAGCUAGUUGGUGAGGUAACGGCUCACCAAGGCAACGAUAGGUAGGGGUCCUGAGAGGGAGAUCCCCCACACUGGUACUGAGACACGGACCAGACUCCUACGGGAGGCAGCAGUGAGGAAUAUUGGUCAAUGGACGCAAGUCUGAACCAGCCAUGUCGCGUGCAGGAAGACGGCCUUAUGGGUUGUAAACUGCUUUUUUACGGGGAGAAACCCACGCUCGUGAGCGUGGCUGACAGUACUGUAAGAAUAAACACCGGCUAACUCCGUGCCAGCAGCCGCGGUAAUACGGAGGGUGUAAGCGUUAUCCGGAAUCAUUGGGUUUAAAGGGUCCGUAGGCGGACUAAUAAGUCAGAGGUGAAAUCCCACAGCUUAACUGUGGAACUGCCUUUGAUACUGUUAGUCUUGAGUUAUAUUGAAGUAGAUGGAAUGUGUAGUGUAGCGGUGAAAUGCUUAGAUAUUACACAGAACACCGAUUGCGAAGGCAGUCUACUAAGUAUCAACUGACGCUGAGGGACGAAAGCGUGGGGAUCAAACAGGAUUAGAUACCCUGGUAGUCCACGCCGUAAACGAUGGAUACUAGCUGUUGGGGCGAGAGCUUCAGUGGCUAAGCAAAAGUGAUAAGUAUCCCACCUGGGGAGUACGUUCGCAAGAAUGAAACUCAAAGGAAUUGACGGGGGCCUGCACAAGCGGUGGAGCAUGUGGUUUAAUUCGAUGAUACGCGAGGAACCUUACCAGGGCUUAAAUGUAGAUUGCAUGAUGUGGAAACACGUCUUUCUUCGGACUAUCUACAAGGUGCUGCAUGGUUGUCGUCAGCUCGUGCCGUGAGGUGUCAGGUUAAGUCCUAUAACGAGCGCAACCCUUGUCGUUAGUUGCCAGCGAGUAAUGUCGGGGACUCUAGCGAGACUGCCGGUGCAAACCGAGAGGAAGGUGGGGAUGACGUCAAAUCAUCGCGGCCCUUACGUCCUGGGCUACACACGUGCUACAAUGGGUGGUACAGAGGGAAGCGAUACCGCGAGGUGGAGCAAAUCCCAGAAAGCCAUCCGUAGUCCGGAUCGGAGUCUGCAACUCGACUCCGUGAAGUCGGAAUCGCUAGUAAUCGCGGAUCAGCAUGCCGCGGUGAAUACGUUCCCGGGCCUUGUACACACCGCCCGUCACACCAUGGGAGUUUGUUGCACCAGAAGCAGGUAGUCUAACCGAAAGGAGGGCGCUUGCCACGGUGUGGUCGGUGACUGGGGUGAAGUCGUAACAAGGUAACCAAGCC
This 1497-nucleotide ribosomal RNA is filed under the name uncultured bacterium. RNAcentral's name for it is "bacterial SSU rRNA". It matches the Rfam family "Bacterial small subunit ribosomal RNA". The record is from RNAcentral.